This 440-nucleotide ribosomal RNA is filed under the name uncultured bacterium. RNAcentral's name for it is "partial 16S ribosomal RNA". It matches the Rfam family "Bacterial small subunit ribosomal RNA", at positions 338 to 795 of the family's 1533-position model. The record is from RNAcentral.
CCUACGGGAGGCAGCAGUGGGGAAUAUUGCACAAUGGGGGAAACCCUGAUGCAGCAACGCCGCGUGGGUGAAGAAGUAUUUCGGUAUGUAAAGCCCUAUCAGCAGGGAAGAGAAUGACGGUACCUGACUAAGAAGCCCCGGCUAACUACGUGCCAGCAGCCGCGGUAAUACGUAGGGGGCAAGCGUUAUCCGGAUUUACUGGGUGUAAAGGGAGCGUAGACGGUUGUGCAAGUCUGAAGUGAAAGCCAGCGGCUCAACUGCGGAACGGCUUUGGAAACUGUGUAACUGGAGUGCUGGAGAGGGAAGCGGAAUUCCUGGGGUAGCGGUGAAAUGCGUAGAGAUCAGGAGGAACACCGGCGGCGAAGGCGGCUGACUGGACAGUAACUGACGUUGAGGCUCGAAAGCGUGGGGAGCAAACAGGAUUAGAUACCCCUGUAGUC